This is a long non-coding RNA of Cyprinus carpio (common carp), 7011 nucleotides long. Lineage: Eukaryota; Metazoa; Chordata; Actinopteri; Cypriniformes; Cyprinidae. The record is from Ensembl.
CUAGAGUCUGCUAUUGUUCCUCUUAACCCGAAUCCACUGUCUUUGCACAUUCUCCAAUGAGAACUGGCCGGUGUGAGCUUUGAAGCCGAAAUCCACAGCGCAAGUCGCCAAUCAAACAAACCAGUCAGACAAACAGGGAGAGCGAGAGAGAGCGAGGAAAGAGCGUGCGUCUCAUAUGGACUAACAGAGCCGCGCUCGUGAUCAGUGCACGAUCUUCUGCCACUGGAUACCGGAAAGGGCCUCCUGAUCACCAUCUAUCAAAGCACAGCGAUUGAGCCUGAGAAUAAACGAGAAGGACUAUGACACAGGCGCUCAAGAGGCCGUGCACACGAGAUCGACUUGACAACUUUGGGCUCCUGAGCUCAAAUACAUCUGUAUUUAAGAUACGUUUAUUUAAUAGGACCAUCUGAGCCACAUGUGAGGAAACGUUGUGUAGUUAGAGCCUAAUGAAACAGUUGCGCAACUUAUAGCGCCAUCUAGCUCCUUUCUGUGUUCCUCCUGUGCACUGCAGCACCCCCUACAGGAACAUGUCUGCAGCGCAGACUCAGAAUGACCGGGAGCAGUGCUGGGGUUGUCUGGAAUCGCUCGGCCUCAGCCAGAGGGAGCUGGUCCUUGCAGAGGCCCUGCAGAUGGAGUAUGACGCUCUCGCCCGCCACCGACAGGACAAGGCCCCAGCAAAUACUCUACCCCCUGAAACCAAGUCAUCGCCUGCAAAAAGCGAGCCCUCCCUGCCUAGACACGUUCCCAGUCCUCCUUGGAAUAAUUUGCAGCAGGGUGUUUCCGGAUCUGACCCCAUGCUCAACCACGUUCAACCCGGGGUGUCGAACUUAUCACAAUCCAGCAGUGAGUCUUCCGGAUUUAGUAAGGAGCCUCGUUACAUUCUGGAUGAAUGGAAAAGUGACUUCGAAGGAACGUCGCAGUUGCUGUCAAAAGGGCCACCGUCUCUAGAUGAGCCUCCGCCACCAGUACCACCCAGAAAUCCCAUCCUCCAGAACGAUCCGUUCAUUGUCCAUCGAAGCUCAGCCCCACGGGAUGUCAACUUGUUCACUCCUGAGGUGGACCAGCCCAAGCUUUCCUUCGGAGACACUCUGAACUAUGAUAACCUCAAUGACUCCCUGAGCAAGCUAAAUGAGGAUUGGCUCUCACCUAAUAGAAGCCAGAGAGCAAAUGGGGACAAAUCAGGGAAGACAGUAGCUCGCAGUAACACCCUUCCUCCUCAGAUUCCUCCCCGCACCUAUCUUCCAGCGCAGAAGAGUACUAGAAGCCAACGCAGAGUAUCAAUUGAUCCGGUAUCUCUAGGGUCCAGGCCAAAUGGCUUUGGUUACGAGCUCUUUCAGGUUUCUGAAGAGAGGGAUGAAGAAGUGGCGGCCUUCUGUCAUAUACUUGACUUGCUACGAUUGGCGUACCCAUGCAAUGACUACUCCAAAAAUACAGGCUUUGUUUGGAGUCCGUGUGUGGCACAAGAUGAACUGCAGCAGGGCCUGGGGGUCAGCAUAAAGGUCACGGUUUACAGUGACAACUUCAGAGAACCACUCACAUUCUCUUGUGAUGGAUCUUCAACCAUAGACCUGCUAAUUUAUCAGACUCUCUGCUAUGCCCAUGAUGACCUGGAUAUGAUUGAUGUGGACGACUACCUGCUGAAAAUCUGCGGCCAGGCAGAGUUCCUCAAAAACACUCAGACUCUGGCGAGCUUUGAGUACAUCCAGCAGUGUCUGAAGUUUGACUGGGACAUUCAACUCAUUCUUACCAAACGGAGUUCUGUCAACAUGGAGCUGGGCCGAACGGCAGAGGAUGAUGUUACUCCAUCCACCAUGAACCAAAGUAUUCUACUGCAAGAGAGGUCAAUCAAACAGACCGUGACCAGGGAGGCACUGACUCUUCUCCUGGAUACCUUUUACAAUGAGGCUGAGUCUUUCCUUUUAUCGGAGGUUGAGUUGCCGUUGCAUGUGGAGAGGUUAGUGCAGUCUGUGAAGGCUUUGUGUUCUUCUCUAGCAGCUGUUGAAACACCUGACAUCACUGCUGCCCUAAACCAACUGCCAGCAUGCCCCUGCAGACUACAGCCUAAAGUGCAAAAGGAUGUCAGUGUCUUGGCAAAGAGAGAAAACAGAGUGACAAUUGUGGAGAAAUUGACUGCAGCCAUCUUGGAUCUUGUGGAGUUGUACUGCAGCACUUUCAAUGCUAAUUUCCACACCAUGCCACACAGCAGCAGAUCCACAGCCCCCAUACAGGAAGCUGGAAUGGUCACCAACGUGCUUUCCUUCAGCGUUUAUGCGGCUCAUCGCAUCCCUAUCACAUGGGCUGCCAGCUAUGAAAAUUUCUUCCUGUCCUGUUCUCUUACACAUGGCGGAGUGGAGCUUUGUGCCCCCCAGCACACCAGUAAACAGUCGGUCAGCAAAUAUCUCUUCCACCUGGUGGUGUGGGACCAGAGAGUUUGCUUCCCCAUCCAGAUCAACCAGUUGCCAAGGGAGUCACAGUUGACUGUAACACUAUAUGCCACCCCUGUACCGCCCCCUGGAGGUGCGGAGGAGAAGGGCAAACAGAAACGCAGCAUUGAGGCUUUGGGUUGGGUCACCAUGCCCUUAUUCAACUUUAGACAUGUUCUAACAUGUGGGAGGAAGCUGCUGGGUCUCUGGCCUUCAACCCCUGGCAGUGGAAAUGCUCGUUCCAGUUUGCCCAACUUCAGCCAGCCAGACAGUGUCAUCCUUCAGGUUUGGCCUUUUGUAGAGGCCACUCCCCAACAUGAAUUCAUAAGCCAACGAAGAGCGUUGACUCCAGAGGACCGGCGUCUAUUGUGGGAGAAGCGUUAUUUCUGCCACGUUGAAGCCAGUCGUCUGCCGCUGGUCCUGGCCAGCGCACCCAGCUGGGAGUGGGCAUGUCUUCCUGAUAUCUAUGCCCUGCUCCGCCAGUGGGGAUGCAUGAACCACCUGGAUGCCCUAGGCCUGCUGAACGCCACGUUUCCAGAUCAGGAGUGCAGGCGGACAGCGGUCCAGUGGAUGGACUCAAUCUCUGAUCCUGAGCUUUUGGACUUCCUUCCUCAGUUAGUGCAGGCGCUGAAGUACGAGUGUUAUCUGGACAGUCACCUGGUGCGUUUUCUGCUGAGGAGGGCCAUUGGGGACAUACGCAUUGCUCACUACCUCUUCUGGUUGCUGAAAGAUGCUCUUCAAGACUCUCAGUUUAGCGUGAGGUAUCAGUAUCUGCUGGCGGCUCUUCUCUGCUGCUCUGGUCGUGGUUUGAGAGAAGAGUUUGAUCGGCAAUGCUGGCUGGUCAAUAUUCUGGCUAAAAUAGCCCAACGUGUUCGAGAUGCCUCGCCUUCAUCCAGACAGGCUAUUCUCCGGGAGGGUCUGGAUGAGGUCAAACAGUUCUUCUCUAUGAACAGCAGUUGUCGACUUCCUUUGAACCCGGGCCUGUUCGUCAAGGGCAUCAACAUACAGUCUUGCUCCUACUUCAACUCUAAUGCAGUGCCCCUCAAGCUGUCGUUCCAGAACCAGGAUGCUCUGGGGGACCACGUCAAUGUCAUCUUUAAGUGUGGAGAUGACCUGCGGCAGGACAUGCUGACGCUGCAGAUCAUCCGGAUCAUGAAUAAGAUCUGGAUCCAGGAGGGACUUGAUAUGAGGAUGGUCAUCUUCCGCUGUUUCUCUACUGGACGAGGCAAAGGCAUGGUAGAGAUGAUUCCCAGUGCAGAAACCCUGAGGAAGAUCCAGGUUGAGCAUGGAGUGACUGGUUCUUUCAAAGACCGGCCUUUGGCAGAUUGGCUGCAGAAACACAACCCCACUGAGGAUGAGUAUGAAAAGGCAGUGGAAAACUUCAUCUAUUCGUGUGCUGGUUGUUGUGUGGCCACAUACAUUCUAGGAAUCUGCGACCGCCACAAUGACAACAUCAUGCUUAAGACUAGCGGACACAUGUUUCACAUCGACUUUGGCAAGUUCCUGGGGCAUGCACAGAUGUUUGGCAACAUCAAACGGGACCGGGCUCCUUUUGUGUUUACAUCUGACAUGGCGUAUGUCAUCAAUGGAGGUGACAAGCCAUCCAGCCGUUUCCAUGAUUUUGUGGACUUGUGUUGUGAAGCCUACAAUCUGAUUAGGAAACAUGCACAUCUUUUUCUCAAUCUGCUUGGGCUGAUGCUCUCCAGUGGGAUACCAGAGUUGUCUGAUGUGGAUGAUCUGAAAUAUGUUUAUGAUGCUCUGAGACCACAUGAAUCAGAAGCAGAUGCCACCAUGCACUUCACCAGGCUAAUCGAGUCCAGUCUUGGCAGUGUGGCUACUAAGCUCAAUUUCUUCAUCCAUAACCUGGCCCAAAUGAAAUUUGCAUCCUCUGAGGAGCGUCCCGUUCUGUCAUUUGCUCCCCGUGUCUACACUUUAAAGAGUGAUGGUGUCAUUCGCAACCUAUUCGUCUGCAGACACAUCAAAACCUAUACUCCAAGCAAAGGCUAUUCUUAUGUUGUAAAAGUGGAGCGGGAAGGUCAGCAGGGGUCAACUUUAGUCCAGAGGACAUUUGAGGAGUUCCAUGAACUUCACAGUAAACUGCAGCUCAUCUUCCCUUCAUCAAAACUACCCAGCUUCCCCAGCCGCUUUGUGAUUGGUCGGUCUCGAGGAGAGGCCCUUGCAGACAGGAGGAAAGAGGAGCUAAAUGGAUAUGUUUGGCAUUUGAUCCAUGCUACUCAAGAGGUGGCACAGUGUGAUCUGAUCUACACAUUCUUUCACCCUCUACCAAGAGACGAGCGGGCAGGAAGUGUAGGAACUGUUGUUAAUGCACUCCAUAACAAACCAGCAGAUGUGUCCUGGGCUCCUGUUCCCGGUACAGUGGCAGGGGAAGUGAAGCUCUCAGUUCUGUACAAGAGCGACAAGCUUUUUAUCAUGGUGAUGCACAUCAGAGGCUUGCAACCUUUGCAGGACGGAACAGAUCCUGAUCCAUACGUCAAAUUGUACCUCCUCCCAGACCCUCAGAAAACUAGCAAGAGGAAGACCAAGGCAGCCCGGCGAACAUGCAACCCCACUUACAAUGAGAUGCUGGUGUAUGACAAGAUUCCACGUGGUGAUUUGCAGCAAAGAACCGUUCACCUGCGGGUACUGAGUGAGGGUGCAUUCUGGGAGAAUACCCUGCUGGGUGAAACCAUUAUUCAACUGAAAGACCUCACCCCGGGCCAUCGCUGGGUUGGCUGGCACCAGCUUGGCUCUGACAUAAACCGCUAACACUUGUGUGGAUGCCCAUUGGAAAUGAAGGAUUUCACAUGAGUCCUUCAGUGUGCAUGCGUUUGUGUCUGUCUUUGCUUAUGGGUCUGGAGUUGGAGAUGCCCAGCUGCUCAGAAGCCUGUUUCCCCCAGUGGGGGUUUGUGUUUGUUAAUUCUCCCAGGAGACGUGUAGAGUCGGUGAUGGAGUGUCAUCGCUUGAUACUGUUCUGGUGGGGUACCGUGCACCAUGUGAACCAGACCUUGGAUUUAUGGAAGCGGUUCUUGGUGACACUAUGGGACAAAAACCAUUUGGUGACACAAGGAUUGGCAGACAGAAUAUUUAAAGAUGAAAUAACUUUCAUGCGCCAUAUUUUUGGGGAGAUUUCUGGAAAAUUGAUGUCUGUGAAACUUUAAAGCCCCAUUUUGUCUUCUUGAGAAUGCUAAUGGAAAUUUAAGUUAUUUUUUUUUUAAGAUGUUUCUCUGUUGCAGCUCAAUUUUGAGCUAUGUUGUGUCCUGUGACAUUAGUUUUUCUCUUUGUAUCAGAUUUUGCAGACAUUUACCUAGGAAUUAAUAGUGAGGAACGCUUUUGUACUGUAAAGUUGGAUAAUUUCAGAUUGCCUGUGGCAUUUACCUGAUCAUGAAAAAGGGAUGAACACUUAAUAGUCUUUGGCUUGAAAUUGUGGAAUUAACUUGCUUCAUAUAACCACUGCAGGAAGUGACACAAACAGUACAGAGGGAAUGUAGAUUUUUGAUCAUGUAAAAUAGGUGGGUUCAUAAAAAAAGGAAUUGCAUGUACAGUAUAUUGAGCAAAGGAGACAAACCAGGAAUAUGAAUUUUGUUGCAUAAACCUCUAAGAUUUGUUUCUUUCCAAAAUGAUGGGGCGCAACUUUAUAUGCAGAAAAGGCUUUUGAAGGGACUUGAUUUUGCCUUGUUGAUAUAAGCAUAACCUACACAAGGACAUUUCUGUUUGGAAAUAGUUGAUUUGCAUGUUGUAAUAUUUGCUACUGGAUAAAUAUUGCAUUUUUGCAUUUGUUUGUCAAGUAUAUUGACCUCACAUUUUUCCAAGUUUUAUUGGUUAAUUUUGUGUGUGUGCGCCAAAGGGGGAGUGAAAUGAAUGCUUUAGACUGUAGUUAGGUCAAUUUCCAUUCCACAUUUGUACAGUAUGUAAAACUGCAUGUAAAUUAAAUGCUAAAUAUACCACAGGAGUUUUUUUUUUUUUUUCAACUUAAAGAUUUUGCAUUUAGAUUUGCUUUACUUUGCACUCAGUUUGAUUUUGAGAAGAACAACCUUAUAGCUCAUAUAAGUUUAGAAAAGAAAUUAAGUAAUUGGAAAUCUAUUUAAAUUAUAUUUGAUCUUACUUGCAUAAAAUUGUCUAAUUUAACAAAGUGGCAUUGAUGUUUGUGUUACAAAAAUAACCUACAAGUCAAAAGUGCAACCCCUGUAUGCGGAGGUGCUCUAACAAUCCAGUAGCCUUAAGCAAACUUAUAGGUAAGAUUAUCCAGUUCAAAGCAGUCCCUGUUCUAUAGCUCUUUCUAACCAGACAAACCAGCUCCAUUUCAGAUAUGAAGUACAUUUUCCCAAGUAUUGAACUUUCCUUCAAAUGACAAAUGGUUGUGUAUGUGUAUUUUUUCCCUCCAAAGGGCACUAUUGUGUGAUGUUUAACCUAAUGGGAAAUGAUUGUAUGAUUGCAUGCCAACCCAUAAUGCAAAGCUGAGUGUUUUAGAAAAAAUAAUAAUAAUAAUGUUUUGUGUGUGUAUGCAGAAGAGUUUGGAUUUAAACGUAUAGUACUUUUAUAACAUCUGUGACCCUUAUUUUAAUAAAUAAAGAGGAUGUGAUUAAAAUCA